RNAcentral lists this ribosomal RNA (1132 nucleotides) under uncultured organism. RNAcentral's name for it is "bacterial SSU rRNA". It matches the Rfam family "Bacterial small subunit ribosomal RNA", at positions 306 to 1468 of the family's 1533-position model. The record is from RNAcentral.
CCCCACAAUGGGACUGAAACACGGCCCAUACUCCUACGGGAGGCAGCAGCAGGGAAUAUUGCACAAUAGGCGAAAGCCUGAUGCAGCGACGCCGCGUGAGUGAAGAAGGCCUUCGGGUCGUAAAGCUCUUUUGUACGGGAAGAGGAAGGACGGUACCCUAAGAAGAAGCGUCGGCUAACUACGUGCCAGCAGCCGCGGUAAGACGUAGGACGCGAGCGUUAUCCGGAAUUACUGGGCGUAAAGGGCCAGCAGGCGGCUUGGUAAGUUGUGCGUGAAAGCCUCGUGCUCAACGCGAGGAAGCCGGACAAUACUGUCAAGCUAGAGGGCAUCAGAGGGGAGUGGAAUUCCCGGAGUAGCGGUAAAAUGCGCAGAUAUCGGGAGGAACACCGAUGGCGAAGGCAGCUCCCUGGGAUGCACCUGACGCUAAGAGGCGAAAGCUAGGGGAGCGAACAGGAUUAGAGACCCUGGUAGUCCUAGCUGUAAACGCUGGGUGCUAGGUGUGGGACGUAGAAGUUCCGUGCCGGAGCAAACGCGAUAAGCACCCCGCCUGGGGAUUACGGUCGCAAGGCUAAAACUCAAACGAAUUGACGGGGCCCCGCACAAGCAGCGGAGCGUGUGGUUCAAUUCGAUGCUACACGAAGAACCUUACCUGGGUUUGACAUGUACGUGGUACGAAGGCGAAAGCCUAAGGACCCUUCGGGGAGCGUACACAGGUGCUGCAUGGCUGUCGUCAGCUCGUGCCGUGAGGUGUCGGGUUAAGUCCCGUAACGAGCGCAACCCUUGCCCUUAGUUACAAGUGUCUAAGGGGACUGCCGGCGGGAAGCCGGAGGAAGGUGGGGAUGACGUCAAGUCAGCAUGGCCCUUAUGUCCAGGGCUACACACACGCUACAAUGGUCAGUACAAAGGGUAGCGAAGUCGCGAGGCGGAGCGAAUCUCAACAAAGCUGAUCGUAGUUCGGAUUGCAGGCUGCAACCCGCCUGCAUGAAGCUGGAGUUGCUAGUAACCGCGCGUCAGCCAUAGUGCGGUGAAUACGUACCCGGGGCUUGUACACACCGCCCGUCACGUCAUGGGAGUCGGUAACGCCUGAAGCCGGUAGUCUGGCCCGCAAGGGGGACGCUGUCGAAGGCGGGAC